UAAUUUAGGUAUUAAUAUUAAAGUAUAAGCUGGAAAAACAGGGGUUGCCGGAUGAUAAAUUCUAAUGUUUCCAAAAAAAAGACAAUUCACUGUCGACCGUAUUGAGCCAGUGUUAGUUAACAAAAUUAUUAAUAUUUACAGUCGCAAAAACCAAAAUCUUUUGCGCCGCGUUAUAAAUAGUAAACUUUGGUCGCACAAAUACUUAUUACAAGUUAUAAAUAUACACGCAGCAAUUAUAUAACCAAAGUUGAUUUGAAAAAAUAACUGCUACAUAUAUUAUAAUAAAAUAUAAAGUAAUAUAAAAGUACCUUCGUAAACCCCUAAAGUUCUAGAGAUAUAAUUGUCCAUUCAAUUCAACAGUUUUGCUAACCCGCUUUUGCCAUCGAUUUGCCUAUAACCUAAAAUCCCCUCCCCCAUUGCAACUUUAAUAUAUAAACAAUUAUAAAUUCGAUCGCUAUGCAAAAAUUUUCGGCAUUGUCUUUUGUUACUUUGGGGUUGUUGGGUUUUGCCAAUUCGCAUCCUCAAGUUCCUUUAUAUACCCGAGGUACCAAAGAUAAGCUGGUUGAAGGAAAACGUGCAUUUUACGAGCAUUGCGACGCUUCGCAAAUCAAAACUGUUGAAAAGGUUAUUGCACAAUAAACGAUAUUACAAAAUUACAAAUACGGUAUCCAGCUAAUAAUAAUAUUGAAAUUAAAGGCCAAUAUUACCGUUAAUAUUGCUCGUGAAAAAGUUCGAAAAGGAAAUCCCGAUGUUGAAGAAUUUUUUCACGGCAACGAUCCCAAAACGAUUGCAGCUGUUCGCAAAAUUUAUAAAAGAAUAAACCAUGCGAUUAACGUUAAUAAUAAACAAAAAAUUAUUUUUAAUUGUUAGGGUGAUAAUUAAUAUUGUGUUAUUUAUAUUUCCCGUACCGGGGACCCCGGAUAAAAUUGGAUUUAUAUAUCGGAUGAGAAAAUUUUUUUAUGUCCGGCCUGGUUUAAAAACCCGGUAAACGGUGUUUAUAUGUGGAAUGGUUAUUAAGGCGUUAAUUUGAUUUAUGGAUAUUCGAUUUUUCGACAAAAUAAGUCGGCCAAUUCCAUACACAAAUGUUUUCAAAUUGAAUAAAAAUUAAUAUAAUAAACAAUUAAAACAAUUAGAGAGGUUGUGGAUUUCGAUAUUUGGGGGAAGGAUAAUUUGUCCGGGUAAGAUUUUCCUGUUUAAUGUUUUUUGACGAACUGGUCUAAUGUUUUUACUAUUACAAUUUAAACAAUAAGCAAAGUGUGAAAUACGCCGACAUUUAUAUCUUAUUUGCGCAAACAAGCAUAAACAAAACCCACAAAAAUAAAGUCUAAAAGAAGCAAAAUUCGGCUGGGUAUACUAUUUUGAAGCCGUUGGGGGUUUAGUUAUUAUAGCCACUGAACGCAAGCAAACAAAGGAGAGGAAGAAACCGUUGAAGGCGAGGAAGGAGCAGCAAAAAAAAUAAGAGCAGAAGCGAAAAAUAUAAGAGGUGGAGAGGUUUUAACAAACAGGAUGCCUUUACGAAAGGCAUCGUAUAUUCGGCUGCUCUUAUGGAUGGACAAACUGUAAUAAAUACCGUAUAAAAAUUACAAAUUUUGCGAUGAGGAACAUUUGAAUGUGGUUAUUAUAGUCGUUUUCCCCACUAAACUUUCGUGUUUAGUCCUUUCAGCUAUAUAUUCCGCUUUGCAUAUUUUACGCGUGCCUUAUAUUCCCUCCAUGCGUCGAUAAGCCAAUUGUAUUUGCCAAAGCCAUCGACAAAACGCUGUCCAUCCCAUUUAAAAAAAUACCAAAUCCUGCCCAUAGGACUCAAAAUCUCGAUUCGGCCUCUUUUGCGGCCGGCCAGACUAGCUAUGCAAUCAAAAAACCGCUGCUCCUCAGUUAUUACAAUAUACGAAUGCUGAUGUUCCGCUGAGCGAAGGUUUACUUUUCAAUUUGCAUUGACCCGUUAUCGUUAAACAGAAGGUAAGGGAAAUUCGAACCUCGGUUUGAUAACAGCAACGCUAAAUAUAUGUUUGAAACGGCUGUAGUAUCGUUUUGUUUCGCCCAUAACCAAAUUUUAACGGUAAUGUUCGAAUUGCUAAGCUGAACCUCACAGGUCGCUUAUAUUCGAACUUCCUGUAAACAUUACAAUUGCCCUGCCCAAAAAACAAAACGAUCCUUUAAUCACCUGCAAAAUAUUUCGAUUUGUGCCUGCACAUUUGGCGUUUUCCAAGUUAUUUCUGCUCUACUACCUUUCCUUCGUUACGGUAUUGAACGGGUUUGAGUGGUUUUGUUUGCACCGUAAUGCGAAACAAAGAUUGGGACUUUGGCGAAGAUGUCCGACGAUGGAGAGGUGAUAUGUUAACGACAAUUUCGUCCAGCGAGGGGUUUUGGUUCGAAUCCUGCAAAUAAAAGCGGGGAUCGUCGUCUUUUUCGCGCAGGGACAAAAAAUCCAUGUUAAGGCGAGCAGGCGGGUUGUUACAGGUGGUUAUAAUUGCAUCAUUAAUCAGCAGUUCCGUUUUCGGACAGGCCGCUGUCGUGGUAAUCGAAAAAGGGAAAUAUGAAGUUUUUAGGAAUUGGUGCAAAUGGUAUCUUUCGAGGUAUGGCGCUGCACAACUCCAGUCGUGUGGUCGAUAAAUUGAAGCUCUGCCUCGAAUUUGGCCUUUGAGGCAGGCGUGUCGACGUUCAAUUGCCUUUUUUUUUGGGGGGGGCGUUAUUUCCUCGUCCUUCUUCGGGAAAUUUAAAAUGUUUGAUUCUAUAAUGAAUUUUGGGCAAUGGACAUUUAAAAAAUAGAAUUCGAAUUGUUUAGCCCAUUCCAAUUUGGUGACACAUUGUUUAUAGGGAUGGGGGCACAAUGCAGGCUUGCCGGCUUCGAUAUUUUGGAUAUGGGUUCGGAAAUGUUUGUUGACAUGGUCUCUCCACGAGAAUCGAUCGAGGAAUUGGCGGAAUCGCAUUUUUGGCGCCAGCGGUAAAUCCCCCAUGCAUAGGAUGCAGUAGCCAGCUGUCACCAAAACCCCGCCAUAAAUAAACCGGUUAUAAUAGGUUGGAAAUGUUUCCGGAUAAUCAAAAUGCAAGCGACAAUAAUUACUCUAUUAAUGUUCAUUUAUAACCCAUUUAUUGCAAAGGAAGCAGAAUUCAGCGAAACCAUUGUAUGAGGUCUUGAAUCAGGUGUAAACGUGUUUCCAAUUAUAGGUGGACUUUAGAUUUUUGGCGGCGCAAAAAAAUUCCGGCAAUUUUCGCCGGCGGGUUGACUUGCCGCAUAGGCACAAAUUUGGUUCCAGUCCUGGGCGAAACUUAAUUUCUGUAUCUGUUUCGCAUAAAGCGAUCAUAUCGCGGAACACCUGGAAACCAGUCGAAUUUCGCAAAGUAUCGGUUUGGAAAAGAUUUUCCGCCAGGCGGUCUCGCUCUGGUAUAAGGAACCUGACACGAUCGAAUAUAUUUCGGUGAUAGUAUGGAAGGUUCUUUUCACGAGCUGUAAUGGGCCGAUACGGCUGAGUUUGCUGCCAUUCCCGGAAUUUUUGAUCCGCCAGUUUUCGUUUUUUUUUUAUAAAGCUGCUUGCGGCGUGAGGCUGAUUAAAACUUUUUGCGGCAAUAAGGAUAACCAAUAUAGGCAGCAUUGCAUUGCAAAUGAAAGUUAUAAGUCCUAAGCUUUUAUAUAGCGAAUGCUCGGGUCUGCAUUAAUUAGAACAAAACCUUGGACUGCAUCGAUAGAAUGACCAUACCUUUUAUCCGGGGUAUAUGUUAUGCCCUUCGCAUCUCGCACAAGUUAAAUAGCAGAUUUAGCUUUGUCGUAUUUAUUACGGAAGGCCCCGCAUUUCACAUCCUAUUUCCGUGGCGAGUCGGUUUAAUUUUGAUCACUACAGUGAAUUAGUUAUAGGUAACUGACCUUGUAAUACAGUCCGCGCCCAGAACAAGCACGACAAGAUGAUUCAAUGUACUCGCCGAUACGAGAGGACAAACAGACAAUGGCCAUAAAACUCGCCCAAUCGUACAUUUUCGUUGCCGGCCAUUCGUAUUCGACCCAGUCGUUUCCCCACAACUGACGACCAAGGUGGAGGAAAUGGUUUUUGGUACCGAAUUUCCUUGGUCGCUUAGCUUUUACCAAUGUAAUGCUGCUUUCGCGUUUCAAAACCUCAUUCGACGCCCUCAAUGCCAAAAACAACCUUUUCCAUGAAAUUUUUCAAAGGUUUUGAAUUGUGGGGGCUCGGGUUUUGAUCGGCGUAUUCCUCGGCGUACCUAAACGAGCAUUAACAUAACCACGGUAUGUGAUUAUAUAUUAGAGGCUAUCUUACUGGUACAGAGGCCAACCAUGCGGUUGUACUGCCUGAAAUUUUUGUCGUCAAUCUUCUUAAAGAUAAUUAAAUUGGUAAUCCCCCAAUGCAUUGCACUGAGCCCUUGUUCCUCCCAUCGUGGAAGAAGUGUUGGGCAUUUUUCUUUCCGGGUAUUAUAACCAACGUUUCGCAGAGCAAAUAAUAUUUGGGGUCGAAUAGCUACGUCCUGGUUGCAUUGCAGAAAAAAAUAAAACAAAAAUAAGGUGCAGUCGGUUUAAACAGGUAGGAAAUGGGACGAAUUAAGAAUUAGCGACCGCAGCCUCAUAUAUAUAUUUGAACGCCAAAUGCCAUAGCGGACCGAAAUUCUCAGUCCAAAAACCUGCGCACCAUUCCGUCACCAUGGAGGCAUCCGAAUUUCGAAAGGAUAAAAAGGUGUCGCCAGAACCCGGGCGUAUCGCAAGUUUUGCCUGCACCUCGCCCCUGGCGCGUCCAACCAGAUCCCGAGCUAUGGCGAAGGUUGCAUAAAAUUGAAGGUAUACAGUGCCAAUUCAAAAUCACGUAAAUGAAAGAUGAUAGGUUGGCGUGCAACCCGCAGGAGGGAUGGGCUGUUAGAAAUGGCAGGUAGAGGAAGUGAAUUUAAAAGCUACGAUAAAUUGUAAAGAGGUAGAAAAAGGUAAAUCACUUAGUCAAAAGGUAGGCAGAAUUUGUAUUGUAAAAAUCAGGAAAAUAAUUAUUGAUGGCGAUGAUCUAAAACCUGUUCUAUCUAUUGUACGUAGGUUGUAAACCCUUUAUAUAUUGUAAAUAUAUUUAAUUUUAACACGUAUACCUUUUCUAUUUUUACAGGUAAAUUUAUUUUUUCUUUUCCUGUUAGUUAGACUUUUAUUUAUUAAUUAAACAAUAUAAUGCACGUUGAUUUAUAUGCAUUGUUUAAUUUAACGAUUUGUAUUAAAUCAAUUAAAUGAUAAUAUAAUAAACGCGUGGUAAUUUUAUAUCCCUGUUUAUUAACCUUAUGCCGGUAUAUUUGGCUUAUACAAUUGCAUAAAUUGUAUUACGGGUUGUAUAAACUAAUAUGGGCGAGGUUAAAAUAAUGCGAGGUGAUUAAAAGUAAUGCUUACUAAACAAGGGUAAUUAAAAUUUGAGCAAAAGCGGCGUUGCUAACUAACUAGGCCCGGGCGCGGGCCUUCUGGGUUUCGUUGCAGAUUACCUAAAUAUAUGGGAGUGGCGUCGGCUGCAAUAUUUAGAGCAGGGUACGGUUUCGUUGUUACUUUGCCUUGGUUAUUAUUAAUGCAGUUAAAGUAAAGUUUAAAGCCACUUGUUUUUUUUUUAUAAAUGAGUGGACGGGGUUUUGGUAAGGCACACGGAAUGGACGGUUGAGAGAUUGAAAAUAUUACGAAAUUCCAAACGUGGUUUGCUGUUGUUAAUCGUAGGAUUGCAGGUAAACUCUAAAUCCUUAAGGAUCAAUCCACCGUCCCAAUAAUAUAUUAUCUAGUACUGCCAUGGAUAAUUAUACGUGAAUUGCGCUAAUUCACCCUGCGUUCUCACAAUUUAUCGUAUACCUGGCUCUGGGCAGUUACUAGGUUAUAACAUAAUAAUAUACUGGAUUUUGUUAUUUGAUAGACUUUCGAGGUUUGAAUUACUAUAAAUAGCAGAGUUUAACAAAUUAUAUUACCGCUUAUAUUAUAUUAAAACCACCGUUAGCAUAAAUUUUUAUAACUUUUUAAAUAACUUGCAUCAAAUGUUAUAUUUAUCAAAAUAUAUUAACGAACUGUUUAAAUUAUUAGCACGUUUUUGAUAUCAAAUCUGUCUGGCCUUAUAAAUAGCUCCCAAAUUAUACAGGAAACUGUUCGUUCUUUUAACUUCUUUAGUUUUACCAUUAUCCUGCUCGUACUUUUAUUACAUAUUAUUAUUAACCCAUUAAACAAUAUGCGCGGCCUUUCCACUUUCCUCGCUAUUACUUUGGCGUUUACGUCGGCUGUUAUAGCUGCGCCGUCUAGCAAUUAUCAACCACCUUAUCGGCCUGAUGAUAAAAAGCCCAAAAAACCAGUCGCUGGUCCAUUUCAACCAACCACAUUCCCACCGCCUUUAUCUGGCAGUUUUAGCAAUUAUCGACCACCUUAUCGGCCUAACGAUCCAAAGGCCGAAAAGCCCGAAAAACCAGUCGCUGGUCCAUUUCAACCAACCACAUUCCCACCGCCUUUAUCUGGCAGUUCUAACAAUUAUCGACCACCUUAUCGGCCAGGCUCCCAACAAUAAGUUAUGUUGGCAUAGAGGUUUUACUACGUUCUUUCUAUCAAAUGAAUCGCCUGGUUACAUAAACCAUCCCAUGUAACUUAGCACGUGACCCAAAAACGCCUAUUUAGGGGAAGGCCAUUCGACAGCUCCCUCUUCCUUUAUAAAAUAGAAAAUAUAUAUUGAUAUAAAAAAUUUCCCUCGACUUACGUCCAUAGCUGUUUAUCGUUUACCCUUAUGCAGGUUAUGUGAACAUAUUUGGGAUUUUUCACUCCGUCUAAAAUGCAAUGAUAAUAAGUUUAA
RNAcentral lists this small RNA (6776 nucleotides) under Pyricularia oryzae. RNAcentral describes it as "Magnaporthe oryzae sRNA M_BR32_EuGene_00145241". The record is from RNAcentral. Lineage: Eukaryota; Fungi; Ascomycota; Sordariomycetes; Magnaporthales; Pyriculariaceae.